ACCACAGAUGAUUUGUAGUAUGUUUACUUUCUUAAAAAUAAAAAUGACUUCCUCACAACUAAUGAGAGAAAAGUGUUAACUCAGCAGCUUUGGAAUAUUCAAACCCUGCAUAUUCUGAAGGAGUCAGACCCUUGAGGAGCACCAGGAAGAUAACCUCUAGAUCCUGGAAAUGUCCUGCCUUGCAGAGAGAAAAUGACCCAUGUGAGACAUGACUUGGAAAAAAAAAUAAAGACGAUUAUGAUCAUCUAAACAGUAGUGGCAGCUGAAGUGCAAAACAAAAUCACAUUCAAGAGCAAUUCAAGAAGCAAAAUGUUGAGAAGUUGAUAUGGAUUUUUGAUGCUUCAAAAGGAGUCCCAAGCAAAUAAGAGUCCCAAGCAAAUAAGACAAGUAGAAUGAAGAGAAAGGAAAUGGAAUUCAGCUCCAUUUUUCAUCUCUCUGAAACCACAGAAAAGAUGGGUAACCGCCUUAGGGCAAGACAAUUAGGCUGAGCUACAAACAUGAAGGAGUAACAUUGAGUAUUACACUUUCAGCUUAUCUAAAAGUUUAAAUUAUUUCUUUGCAAUAAAAACCUUCAUAAAGAAUCAUUGGAAAAUUUCUUCAAUGUUUUGACUUGGAACUUUUAAAAUCUACUUGAUCUUAUGAUCAUAUUGUACUGCUUUGCACUGGCAUAGAUUAGUAAAUAUAUUAAGUUCAAAGGUAGUGCUUGCUUAAUUAAUGUUUGAAUUUUGUAUAUUACUGCUCUUAUGUCAAAAUAUUGAAAAUAUGUUUUCACUUGCAAUAUUCAAAUUUUAUAACAGGUUGCAUAGUAACUAAGCAAGAACAGUUUCAGAAAAACCAAUUCCGUGACUUAUAUGAAUUUGCCAUAAAAAUAUCUUUUGGGGAGAAAUAAUUCAAACUCUAGAUUGAGAGCAAUAAAGAUUUUAAGAAAUUAACCAUCAACUUAGGACCACAGGAAAAUGUUCUAUAAGUCUUUACUACAUUUUCAAAAGAUCUCAGCUCUUUCUCUGAAGAGAAAUGACACAAAUUCAGGCUCAGACCAAGGAAAUAAUAUGUAUUUCAUUUGGUAAGAUUUAUAUUCCUUGAAAAAAAGUUUAAUGUUGAAUAUAAUAAUUAAUAUUUGUUUCUAUUUUUAGUGUACUGUGUGAAUUCAGAAUAGUAAAUUUGCCUUCAUGGUAACUUGGAUUGAGAUUAAUCACUUUCUAAAUUUGCUUGCUGCUGAAAAGAAUAAAAAUCAUUUCAAAAUAAAAUUAUAGGAUACUGUUUUUCCGAUUUAACAUAACAGAUGGUUUUCAUUCUUUUAA
Molecule: long non-coding RNA, 1301 nt
Organism: Marmota monax (woodchuck)
Lineage: Eukaryota; Metazoa; Chordata; Mammalia; Rodentia; Sciuridae
Exons: 3
Source: RefSeq, a predicted model, not a curated record